RNAcentral lists this transfer RNA (121 nucleotides) under Candidatus Aenigmatarchaeota archaeon. Its description in RNAcentral is "tRNA-Asp". It matches the Rfam family "tRNA". From Rfam's summary of the family: Transfer RNA (tRNA) molecules are approximately 80 nucleotides in length. Their secondary structure includes four short double-helical elements and three loops (D, anti-codon, and T loops). Further hydrogen bonds mediate the characteristic L-shaped molecular structure. tRNAs have two regions of fundamental functional importance: the anti-codon, which is responsible for specific mRNA codon recognition, and the 3' end, to which the tRNAs corresponding amino acid is attached (by aminoacyl-tRNA synthetases). tRNAs cope with the degeneracy of the genetic code in two manners: having more than one tRNA (with a specific anti-codon) for a particular amino acid; and 'wobble' base-pairing, i.e. permitting non-standard base-pairing at the 3rd anti-codon position. Lineage: Archaea; Nanobdellati; Candidatus Aenigmatarchaeota. The record is from RNAcentral.
GCCCUGGUAGUCUAGCUCGGUCUAGGAUAAGGGACUGUCAAUCCCUCGACCCGGGUGAAGCUUUUCUUUCCAAAGAAAAGCUCCAGGACCAAAAGAAAGGGUUUUAAUCCCGGCCAGGGCG